Molecule: long non-coding RNA, 1045 nt
Organism: Amphiprion ocellaris (clown anemonefish)
Lineage: Eukaryota; Metazoa; Chordata; Actinopteri; Pomacentridae
Source: Ensembl
UUUAGAACAAGGAUUAGACUGGUUUGGUUGCAUUCAGUCAAUGUCAUCGAAACUGUAAUGAUGAAACCGAGGAGGGCUAAUCUGCGUCUUCAUUAAUACAAUACGGCUCACAGUCAUGGUAGGGGGAAAAUUGGAGACAACAAAGAAACCAAACAAAGAAAAGUGAAAUCAGCAGAGCAAACUGAAAUCAAAGUGAUUCAGUUCACACCUCAUAUCUCACAGGGGAUUAAGAGGAAUUCUGAGAAAGACCCGUUUGUUGUUGGCGUAGCAACAAUGGUUUCCUUGACUAUACCAGUUGCUUUCAAGAGUCUGAGCUAGGUAUCAUGGGGUUGUAAUUAAAUGCCUGACUAGUCUUUUUUUUCCCUAAGUCUUUUUUUUUUUUUUUUUGCCAGUUCUGUGAUCAAGUUCAUAAUUUGGAGUUCUUUUACCGGAGCCCUUCAUAUGAUAAUCCAGAUGAAAACAGAUGUGGUGGAACAUCUGUGUGUAAAGCUCUUCAGACUAUUACUAAAUUAAAGCUUGUUGGGGUUAUUUAAAGGUAUUUCCCCUCAUCAAGACCAGGCAGGGCCUCUUGAAGUGAUUCUUUAAUCAACACAUUACCAUAUGAAAUGGUACGGAGUGGUGGUUUCAGUAAUACCACAAACAUCCAAGUCCACACAUCACUGAGGGGUAGAAUAUCAUUAGUGCUGUCUCUUGCUGAGGUCUGCAGAUUAUUCACAGUUCUUUCUGUUUUAUUGAUGGGCAGUUAGUUGGGAAUAACACACCACCUUACAAUCUUUAAUUGCAAUAGCUCCGCCUGUUAUUUUCUAUCCCUGUUCGUCCUGUUCGUCCUGUUCGUCCUGUUCGUCCUGUUCGUCCUGUCCAGUCUUUGUUUCCCCCACACAUCACUGAGGUGUAGCACUGCCCUCCCUGGCUUAUAAUAGGGAAUUCUAAUAAAGAAUGUCUGCUUAGCUUUCAGGGAGGGCUGGUGAUGGUCACACACAUGCACUAAAUAUUAAAAUAUUUGGCUGCAAGACUAAAAUAUGCAUCAAUCUCAUACAAUGUUGAC